UUAAGCGACUAAGCGUACACGGUGGAUGCCCUGGCAGUCAGAGGCGAUGAAGGACGUGCUAAUCUGCGAAAAGCGUCGGUAAGGUGAUAUGAACCGUUACAGCCGGCGAUGUCCGAAUGGGGAAACCCAGUGCAAUUCGUUGCACUAUCGUUAACUGAAUACAUAGGUUAACGAGGCGAACCGGGGGAACUGAAACAUCUAAGUACCCCGAGGAAAAGAAAUCAACCGAGAUUCCCCCAGUAGCGGCGAGCGAACGGGGAGCAGCCCAGAGUCUGAAUCAGCUUGUGUGUUAGUGGAACGGUCUGGAAAGUCCGACGGUACAGGGUGAUAGUCCCGUACACCAAAAUGCACAGGCUGUGAACUCGAAGAGUAGGGCGGGACACGUGGUAUCCUGUCUGAAUAUGGGGGGACCAUCCUCCAAGGCUAAAUACUCCUGACUGACCGAUAGUGAACCAGUACCGUGAGGGAAAGGCGAAAAGAACCCCGGCGAGGGGAGUGAAAAAGAACCUGAAACCGUGUACGUACAAGCAGUGGGAGCACCUUCGGGUGUGACUGCGUACCUUUUGUAUAAUGGGUCAGCGACUUAUAUUCUGUAGCAAGGUUAACCGUAUAGGGGAGCCGCAGGGAAACCGAGUCUUAACUGGGCGUUAAGUUGCAGGGUAUAGACCCGAAACCCGGUGAUCUAGCCAUGGGCAGGUUGAAGGUUGGGUAACACUAACUGGAGGACCGAACCGACUAAUGUUGAAAAAUUAGCGGAUGACUUGUGGCUGGGGGUGAAAGGCCAAUCAAACCGGGAGAUAGCUGGUUCUCCCCGAAAGCUAUUUAGGUAGCGCCUCGUGAACUCAUCUUCGGGGGUAGAGCACUGUUUCGGCUAGGGGGUCAUCCCGACUUACCAACCCGAUGCAAACUACGAAUACCGAAGAAUGUUAUCACGGGAGACACACGGCGGGUGCUAACGUCCGUCGUGAAGAGGGAAACAACCCAGACCGCCAGCUAAGGUCCCAAAGUCAUGGUUAAGUGGGAAACGAUGUGGGAAGGCACAGACAGCCAGGAUGUUGGCUUAGAAGCAGCCAUCAUUUAAAGAAAGCGUAAUAGCUCACUGGUCGAGUCGGCCUGCGCGGAAGAUGUAACGGGGCUAAACCAUGCACCGAAGCUGCGGCAGCGACACUAUGUGUUGUUGGGUAGGGGAGCGUUCUGUAAGCCUGCGAAGGUGACCUGUGAGGGUUGCUGGAGGUAUCAGAAGUGCGAAUGCUGACAUAAGUAACGAUAAAGCGGGUGAAAAGCCCGCUCGCCGGAAGACCAAGGGUUCCUGUCCAACGUUAAUCGGGGCAGGGUGAGUCGACCCCUAAGGCGAGGCCGAAAGGCGUAGUCGAUGGGAAACAGGUUAAUAUUCCUGUACUUGGUGUUACUGCGAAGGGGGGACGGAGAAGGCUAUGUUAGCCGGGCGACGGUUGUCCCGGUUUAAGCAUGUAGGCUGGUUAUCCAGGCAAAUCCGGAUAAUCAAGGCUGAGGUGUGAUGACGAGGCACUACGGUGCUGAAGUAACAAAUGCCCUGCUUCCAGGAAAAGCCUCUAAGCAUCAGGUAACAUCAAAUCGUACCCCAAACCGACACAGGUGGUCAGGUAGAGAAUACCAAGGCGCUUGAGAGAACUCGGGUGAAGGAACUAGGCAAAAUGGUGCCGUAACUUCGGGAGAAGGCACGCUGGUGUGUAGGUGAAGUCCCUGCGGAUGGAGCUGAGACCAGUCGAAGAUACCAGCUGGCUGCAACUGUUUAUUAAAAACACAGCACUGUGCAAACACGAAAGUGGACGUAUACGGUGUGACGCCUGCCCGGUGCCGGAAGGUUAAUUGAUGGGGUUAUCCGUAAGGAGAAGCUCUUGAUCGAAGCCCCGGUAAACGGCGGCCGUAACUAUAACGGUCCUAAGGUAGCGAAAUUCCUUGUCGGGUAAGUUCCGACCUGCACGAAUGGCGUAAUGAUGGCCAGGCUGUCUCCACCCGAGACUCAGUGAAAUUGAACUCGCUGUGAAGAUGCAGUGUACCCGCGGCAAGACGGAAAGACCCCGUGAACCUUUACUAUAGCUUGACACUGAACAUUGAGCCUUGAUGUGUAGGAUAGGUGGGAGGCUUUGAAGCGUGGACGCCAGUCUGCGUGGAGCCAACCUUGAAAUACCACCCUUUAAUGUUUGAUGUUCUAACGUUGGCCCCUGACCGGGGUUGCGGACAGUGUCUGGUGGGUAGUUUGACUGGGGCGGUCUCCUCCCAAAGCGUAACGGAGGAGCACGAAGGUUAGCUAAUCCUGGUCGGACAUCAGGAGGUUAGUGCAAUGGCAUAAGCUAGCUUGACUGCGAGCGUGACGGCGCGAGCAGGUGCGAAAGCAGGUCAUAGUGAUCCGGUGGUUCUGAAUGGAAGGGCCAUCGCUCAACGGAUAAAAGGUACUCCGGGGAUAACAGGCUGAUACCGCCCAAGAGUUCAUAUCGACGGCGGUGUUUGGCACCUCGAUGUCGGCUCAUCACAUCCUGGGGCUGAAGUAGGUCCCAAGGGUAUGGCUGUUCGCCAUUUAAAGUGGUACGCGAGCUGGGUUUAGAACGUCGUGAGACAGUUCGGUCCCUAUCUGCCGUGGGCGCUGGAGAAUUGAGGGGGGCUGCUCCUAGUACGAGAGGACCGGAGUGGACGCAUCACUGGUGUUCGGGUUGUCAUGCCAAUGGCACUGCCCGGUAGCUAAAUGCGGAAGAGAUAAGUGCUGAAAGCAUCUAAGCACGAAACUUGCCCCGAGAUGAGUUCUCCCUGAGACUUUAAGUCUCCUGAAGGAACGUUAAAGACGAUGACGUUGAUAGGCCGGGUGUGUAAGCGCAGCGAUGCGUUGAGCUAACCGGUACUAAUGAACCGUGAGGCUUAACCU
Molecule: ribosomal RNA, 2899 nt
Filed under: Klebsiella pneumoniae
Lineage: Bacteria; Pseudomonadati; Pseudomonadota; Gammaproteobacteria; Enterobacterales; Enterobacteriaceae
Description: 23S ribosomal RNA
Rfam family: Bacterial large subunit ribosomal RNA
Source: RNAcentral